GGGGCCGUAGUUCAGCUGGGAGAGCGCUUGACUGGCAGUCAAGAGGUCACGGGUUCGAAUCCCGUCGGCUCCA
This 73-nucleotide transfer RNA is filed under the name bacterium. Its description in RNAcentral is "tRNA-Ala". It matches the Rfam family "tRNA". From Rfam's summary of the family: Transfer RNA (tRNA) molecules are approximately 80 nucleotides in length. RNAcentral also lists the same sequence under 1 other name. The record is from RNAcentral.